CAGCGAAACUGCGAAUGGCUCAUUAUAUAAGUUAUCGUUUAUUUGAUAGUACCUUACUACUUGGAUAACCGUGGUAAUUCUAGAGCUAAUACAUGCUAAAAAUCCCGACUUCGGAAGGGAUGUAUUUAUUAGAUUAAAAACCAAUGCCCUCUGGGCUCCUUGGUGAUUCAUAAUAACUUUUCGAAUCGCAUGGCCUUGCGCCGGCGAUGGUUCAUUCAAAUUUCUUCCCUAUCAACUUUCGAUGUUUGGGUAUUGGCCAAACAUGGUCGCAACGGGUAACGGAGGGUUAGGGCUCGACCCCGGAGAAGGAGCCUGAGAAACGGCUACUACAUCCAAGGAAGGCAGCAGGCGCGCAAAUUACCCAAUCCCGAUUCGGGGAGGUAGUGACAAUAAAUACUGAUACAGGGCUCUUUUGGGUCUUGUAAUUGGAAUGAGUACAAUUUAAAUCCCUUAACGAGGAACAAUUGGAGGGCAAGUCUGGUGCCAGCAGCCGCGGUAAUUCCAGCUCCAAUAGCGUAUAUUAAAGUUGUUGUGGUUAAAAAGCUCGUAGUUGAACCUUGGGCCUGGCUGGCCGGUCCGCCUCACCGCGUGUACUGGUCCGGCCGGGCCUUUCCCUCUGUGGAACCUCAUGCCCUUCACUGGGUGUGGCGGGGAAACAGGACUUUUACUUUGAAAAAAUUAGAGUGCUCCAGGCAGGCCUAUGCUCGAAUACAUUAGCAUGGAAUAAUGAAAUAGGACGUGUGGUUCUAUUUUGUUGGUUUCUAGGACCGCCGUAAUGAUUAAUAGGGACAGUCGGGGGCAUCAGUAUUCAAUUGUCAGAGGUGAAAUUCUUGGAUUUAUUGAAGACUAACUACUGCGAAAGCAUUUGCCAAGGAUGUUUUCAUUAAUCAGGAACGAAAGUUAGGGGAUCGAAGACGAUCAGAUACCGUCGUAGUCUUAACCAUAAACUAUGCCGACUAGGGAUCGGACGAUGU
Molecule: ribosomal RNA, 974 nt
Filed under: Akanthomyces uredinophilus
Lineage: Eukaryota; Fungi; Ascomycota; Sordariomycetes; Hypocreales; Cordycipitaceae
Description: SSU rRNA
Rfam family: Eukaryotic small subunit ribosomal RNA
Source: RNAcentral